This 941-nucleotide ribosomal RNA is filed under the name uncultured bacterium. Its description in RNAcentral is "bacterial SSU rRNA". It matches the Rfam family "Bacterial small subunit ribosomal RNA", at positions 8 to 916 of the family's 1533-position model. The record is from RNAcentral.
AGAGUUUGAUCCUGGCUCAGGACGGACGCUGGCGGCGUGCUAAUACAUGCAAGUCGAGCGAGCGGAACCAACAGAUUUACUUCGGUAAUGACGUUGGGAAAGCGAGCGGCGGAUGGGUGAGUAACACGUGGGGAACCUGCCCCUAAGUCUGGGAUACCAUUUGGAAACAGGUGCUAAUACCGGAUAAUAAAGCAGAUCGCAUGAUCAGCUUUUGAAAGGCGGCGUAAGCUGUCGCUAAGGGAUGGCCCCGCGGUGCAUUAGCUAGUUGGUAAGGUAACGGCUUACCAAGGCGACGAUGCAUAGCCGAGUUGAGAGACUGAUCGGCCACAUUGGGACUGAGACACGGCCCAAACUCCUACGGGAGGCAGCAGUAGGGAAUCUUCCACAAUGGACGCAAGUCUGAUGGAGCAACGCCGCGUGAGUGAAGAAGGUUUUCGGAUCGUAAAGCUCUGUUGUUGGUGAAGAAGGAUAGAGGUAGUAACUGGCCUUUAUUUGACGGUAAUCAACCAGAAAGUCACGGCUAACUACGUGCCAGCAGCCGCGGUAAUACGUAGGUGGCAAGCGUUGUCCGGAUUUAUUGGGCGUAAAGCGAGCGCAGGCGGAAAAAUAAGUCUAAUGUGAAAGCCCUCGGCUUAACCGAGGAACUGCAUCGGAAACUGUUUUUCUUGAGUGCAGAAGAGGAGAGUGGAACUCCAUGUGUAGCGGUGGAAUGCGUGGAUAUAUGGAAGAACACCAGUGGCGAAGGCGGCUCUCUGGUCUGCAACUGACGCUGAGGCUCGAAAGCAUGGGUAGCGAACAGGAUUAGAUACCCUGGUAGUCCAUGCCGUAAACGAUGAGUGCUGAGUGUUGGGAGGUUUCCGCCUCUCAGUGCUGCAGCUAACGCAUUAAGCACUCCGCCUGGGGAGUACGACCGCAAGGUUGAAACUCAAAGGAAUUGACGG